Dipodomys ordii (Ord's kangaroo rat) is the source of this 1816-nucleotide long non-coding RNA. RefSeq lists it as uncharacterized. The record is from RefSeq and is a predicted model, not a curated record. The transcript has 2 exons. NCBI's taxonomy places the organism in Eukaryota, Metazoa, Chordata, Mammalia, Rodentia, Heteromyidae.
CUUUUGUCCAUCUGUUCUCUGUUGUGUGAUCCCAAUCCAGAUGAUCCCUUAGUGCCUGAGAUUGCUCGGAUCUACAAAACAGAUAGAGAAAAGUACAACAGAAUAGCUCGGGAAUGGACUCAGAAGUAUGCGAUGUAAUUAAAGAAAUUAUUGGAUAACCUCUACAAAUAAAGAUAGGGGAACUCUGAAAGAGAAAGUCCUUUUGAUUUCCAUUUGACUGCUUUCUAUGAGCCCACGCCUCAUCUUCCCCUGUGCACAUGUUUACCUGAUAAAACAGCAGUGCUGCGUGUUGUACAUACUUGGAACAACAAACUAGAGAUACUGUACUUCUGUACCAACAUUGCCUCCUAGCAGAGAAGUAUGUGUGUGAAAAGCCAAUCUUCCAGGCGUAACCUAGGUGUGAGACAAAAAACUUCACUUAUUGGCAGAAAUUUGGAUAACGGCAAGGUGCGAGGGAUGGUGGGCACAUGGUGUGUACUUGGAUGGGGGAAAGCUCCACUGGCCUGUAGGAAAUUGUUUUUAAGUGGAAUCCAUUUAAAAUCAAAACCGUUAUGAACAGCAAGGUGAAGAACAUGAAGUUUUUUCUGUAUUCAUUUUCUUCGAAGGACCUACAACUUAGGUGAAAGUUAUGACCAACCAGAUUAAACUACCCACAUCCUGUAUUCUAAGGUCUAAGUUUAACUGGUCGACAUUUAAAUGGAUUGGAGCUAUUAGUACAAAAAGUGUGAUGGGCUUUGUUUCCAACUCUUUUACAUUUCCCUACCCUUUCAGUCUUUCAUCCUCCCUCUCCCUCUCUCUCUCUCUCUCUCUUUCUCUUUUUUUCUCUCUCUUUUUCUUUCUCUCUCUUUCCAUAUUCUUUGGUUUGUAUGUGGUUUCUCAGUUAAUACAUAGCUAAUAGCUCUUAUUUUUCUUAUGUUUUUAACUGCUUAGGUCUAUUUGGAUGUAAGGGUGAAAAUUCAUUUGAUGGAAAUACUUGUGUAUAUUUAAAGACCCAAUUGCUCCUCUGGAGCUUGUACGUUCAAGAAUGAUUAAUCUGUGUAAUAAACUGAUUACUACAGUCAUUACAUAUAAUUUUGUGUGAAUAGGCUUUUUGAUUUUAAGAACUUUGUCUAACUGAGAUUAGUGGUGGGUGUUCCCUCACCCCUGAAAUGUUUUCAUUUAUACUGGUUGCAUUUUAAAAUCAUGAAACAAUUGCAGUUUACAUAGUUGAAAAAAAAUACCUUGAGUAAUUUUACUGAACAAGAUAAAAGGCAUCAGCUUAAAGGCAUUUUUGUGAAAUGUGUAUGUGCAGCAUUCCAGGAACAUGACUGUUACACUAAAUAAGAAAUUUGCUUUGUUAAUGAAACUAAGCUGCAUCUCACCAAAACCUUGUGACAUUCCCUUGGUACAUAGAACAUAAAACACGAAGGCAUUGCUAUUUGGUAAGUGAAGCCUCUGUGACUGUAAUUAUAUAGAGCAACUCUGACCAAACUUGGGAACAUGAGCACAAUCUUGUAUUGGAGAGUCUACGUAAUUACUUUGCACUAACAUUUGCAGGAUGUUCAUCCAAUUUUAAAUUGUACUGUAUGUGGCUUUUUAAAGUCUUCCCUUGACUCUAGUAAAAUGUAGUUUGAAACUUGUAUACUGUGUUUGCCAGAAACAUCAUUCAUGUGAACUAGGCAAGUUAUCCCCAUUCCCCUUCUUUACCUAAUCUAUAAUUGUAAACCAGGCCAGCCUGAAGGCCAUGGCUGAUGCUCUCUAGCCAUCAGAUUCUUUAAAAUGCAUCUUUACACUCUUGCACAAAAAUUGAGGAAUAAAUAUCCACUGCUUUUGUUCA